AUGAAACAAAUACUUAUUGUAGAGCUUAUUUCCAGAACAAUGUCUGAACCUGUAUAAUUCAUUGACAGAUUUCAUUGGACAUGAAUCUAAACGUAACUCUAAUUCAACAAUUAUACUAACAUGAUAUCAGAUUUUAAAUGAAAACUAAACAAUGCUAAAACUAAUUAGAUAUAAUACUCAUAUAUUAUGCUGAAAAGCUGGUCGAACAGUCCAGUUGAUCAAUAGACACAAAACAUACUUAUUAUGAGAAUCUCUUUUGUACACAAGUUUCAGGAAGAAGAGGUUCAAAUAUUGUCUAUUAUAAUUCUAACUAAGUAUGAGAUACAAACUACAGUAAAAUAGCCGGAAGAUCAUUUUGAAACAUCCUUCAUUCAAUCCAUUUCAAAUCCACUACAUGUUCAGCAACAGAUCCUCACCUAUGAGCUAGGAGAAUACCUAGAAGUGAGAAGGAAACAAUGAAGAGGUAAGAGGCAGCAAGUUCAGUAAAAACAGUAGCAGGGACAGUAUUUCAGCAGCAAAAUUGCCCAGAAAUUAUCUAGAAAAAUCCAACUGAACCAAAUUUGAAACCAAGCAAUUUCAAAAGACACCAUUUAUCAAGGAUCCAACCCGAACUGAACCAAAACAACCCAAUACUCAACCGAUUCAACUCAUUUUUGGCUUUUGCUAUUCAAAAAUCGUUUGGAAGAUGAAAGCCUCAAAAGACCUUAAUAGAAUAGUAAUGUUUGUAGAAUUUUCUUCUAUAUUGUUUUUUGGUUUUUCAGAAUAUCUAAGAUCUAAAUGAGCUCCCCAACUCCAGAUUUUAAAUUUUGGUUUUUGGAUUUGAAUUUCUAAUUAUUAGACUUCCAAACUUGU
RNAcentral lists this long non-coding RNA (852 nucleotides) under Nicotiana benthamiana. RNAcentral describes it as "long non-coding RNA (NBEN_LNC014823)". Lineage: Eukaryota; Viridiplantae; Streptophyta; Magnoliopsida; Solanales; Solanaceae. The record is from RNAcentral.